CCUACGGGUGGCUGCAGUAGGGAAUAUUAGUUAAUGUGCGAAAGCGCGAACUAGCAACGCCGCGUGUGCGAUGAAGGCCUUCGGGUUGUAAAGCACUUUUCCAAGGGACGAGGAAGGACGGUACCUUGGGAAUAAGCAUCGGCUAACUACGUGCCAGCAGCCGCGGUAAAACGUAGGAUGCAAGCGUUAUCCGGAUUUACUGGGCGUAAAGCGCGUGUAGGCGGUUCGGUAAGUUGGAUGUGAAAGCUCCUGGCUUAACUGGGAGAGGUCGUUCAAUACUGCCGAGCUUGAGGAUGGUAGAGGGAGGUGGAAUUCCGAGUGUAGUGGUGAAAUGCGUAGAUAUUCGGAGGAACACCAGUGGCGAAAGCGGCCUCCUGGACCAUUUCUGACGCUCAUACGCGAAAGCUAGGGUAGCAAACGGGAUUAGAUACCCCUGUAGUC
RNAcentral lists this ribosomal RNA (441 nucleotides) under uncultured Anaerolineaceae bacterium. RNAcentral describes it as "bacterial SSU rRNA". It matches the Rfam family "Bacterial small subunit ribosomal RNA", at positions 338 to 795 of the family's 1533-position model. The record is from RNAcentral. Lineage: Bacteria; Bacillati; Chloroflexota; Anaerolineae; Anaerolineales; Anaerolineaceae.